AUUGAACGCUGGCGGCAGGCCUAACACAUGCAAGUCGAGCGAGCGGCGGACGGGUGAGUAAUGUCUGGGAAACUGUCUGAUGGAGGGGGAUAACUACUGGACACGGUAUCUAAUACCGCAUACCAUCAGAUGCGCCCAGAUGGGAUUAGCUAUUAGGUGGGGUAACGGCUCACCUCGGCGACGAUCCCUAGCUGGUCUGAGAGGAUGACCAGCCACACUGGAACUGAGACACGGUCCAGACUCCUACGGGAGGCAGCAGUGGGGAAUAUUGGACAAUGGGCGCAAGCCUGAUGCAGCCAUGCCGCGUGUGUGAAGAAGGCCUUCGGGUUGUAAAGUACUUUCAGCGGGGAGGCGUUACUCGCAGAAGAAGCACCGGCUAACUCCGUGCCAGCAGCCGCGGUAAUAC
RNAcentral lists this ribosomal RNA (406 nucleotides) under uncultured bacterium. RNAcentral's name for it is "partial 16S ribosomal RNA". It matches the Rfam family "Bacterial small subunit ribosomal RNA", at positions 30 to 526 of the family's 1533-position model. The record is from RNAcentral.